CUUAAUGAACCUUUGUUAACUUAGCUAAAGUCUGUAAUUCAUUCUGCCACCUGAACCCAUGCUGAUGUCAUUGACCCUUGCUGCCUCUGUUAAAAUGAUGUCUAUGGAAGUACCUGCGAUGCAUUCUUAUUUGUUCUCUAAGCCAUGUUGGUGCAUGUGGUCCUUGUUACCAUGAGAUAACGUCUUGAUUGUCAUGACUAUUCUUGGCCCUUAUAACCAUAUUAAUGUAAGUGUUCUGUGUUGCCAAUAUGAACAAUGCAAGUUUCCAAGAACUAAACUACCAGCUGAAACUAAGUUGAUAUCGGAGUACUUGCUGACACCUCCAAACAAAUUAAAUUAAUUCAUCGCUCUUGCAUCUGUUAAACAUGCAGAUGUCCAUGAGCCAACAUACUAUGCUAUUUCUACUUUUUCUGGAAGCCAUGUUGAUGCCAGUGUUAUUUCUUGCCCAUUGAUCUGAUGUUGAUGUCUAUCUGUCCUGCCACCUGAGACCAUGUUGAUGCAAGAGUUCUGUCUUUCCAAAAUGAGGAAUGUUAAUUUCCCUGACCUCAACCAUCGUAAUAAACUAUGUGGCUAUCUAUUCUGCAUGCUACUUCCUGAAUCCUUGUGGAUUUAAAUGAUCCCUGCUGCUUCUGUUACCCUUAUGGAUGUCCAUCAUUAGAAACAUAAUGCUAUUCCUACUACUUAUGGUAGCAGUGUUGAUGGUCAUGAUCUUGUAAACCACUGGACAUCAUGUAAAUUUCCAUGAUCACUUCUACUAUAGGUGAUCAUGUUAAUGUAAGUGUUCAUUGUUGCUAAUGUAUGGGAAUGGUAAUUUCCAAGACUUAACAUACAUUUGGUAACUAAGUUAAUACACAUAAUUCAUGCUGCCACCUCUGUGCCCAUGCUGGUGUCAUUGAUCACUGCACCCUUAACACACCCUGUUGAUAUUAAUGAAUGGAGCUCACAUGCAUUCCUGUUGGUUCUGUAAGCCAUGAUCAUACAAGUCGUGCUUUUUUCCAUGGGAUAACAUCUUGAUUGCCAUAAAAUCUAAAGUCAUUUAUGACCAUAUUAAGGCAAGUGCUCCUUUUUUGCAAUGUGAAGAAAGGUAAUUUCCAAGACAUAACAAGCAUUGGUAACUCAGCAGAUAUCCAUAAUUCAUGCUGCCACCUUCUAACAUAAUGAUGAUGGCAUUGAUAGUUUUUGCCAGAGUUAAACCUGUUGAUGUCUAUGAAUGCACCUCCAAUGCAUUCCAAUUGGUUCUGUAAACCAUGUCAAAGCCUGUAGUCCUUGUUACCAUGGGAUAAUAUCUUGAUUUCCAUGACCACUCUGGCCACUUAUGACCAUAUUGAUGAAAGUGUUCUGUGUUGCCUACAUGAAGAAUGUACCUGUCCAAGAACUAAAAUACCAACUAAAAUAAGUUGAUAUCCGGAAUAUUUGCUGUAACCUCCAAGCGAAUUCAUUUUUUUUUCAUCCCUGCUGCAUCUGUUAAACAUGUCAAUGUUCAUGAGCAAACAUACAUUGCUAUUACUACUAUUUCUGAAAGUCAUGUUGAUGCCAGUGAUCUUUCUUGCCCAUGGAUCUGAUAUUGAUGUACAUCUGUCCUACUACCUGAGACCAUGUGGAUGCAAGUGUUCUGUCUUUCCAACAUGAAGAAUGUUAAUUUCACUAGUCUCAACUACCAUAGUAAAUUAUGUGGCUAUCCAUUCUACAUGCUGCUACCUGAAACCAUGUGGAUGUCAUUGAUAUCUUCUCCCUGUGUGAACCACAUGCAUGUCCAUGAUUGGAAGCACAAUGCCAUUCCUACUACUUCUGGAAGCAAUGUUGAUGCUCAUGAUCUUCUGACCACUGGAAACCAUGUUGAAUUCUGUGAUCUCUCCUGCUACAAGUCACCAUCUUAAGGUAAGUGUUUCUUGUUAUCAAUGUAUAGAAUAGUAAUUUCCAAGAUUUAACUAACUUUUGCUAACUAAGUUGAUCCACAUAUUUAAUACUGCCACCUCUAGCAAUGCUGAUGUCUUUGAUCACUGCUGCCUUAACUAACCCUGUUGAUAUUAAUGAAUGGAGCUCCCAUACAUUCCUAUUGGUUUGGUAAGCUAUGUUGAUGCAUGUGAUCCUUAUUAACAUGGGACAACACCUUGAUUGCUAUGAAUUCUCCAUCUCCUUAUAACCUUACUAAUGUUCAUGUUCUGUGUUGCAAAUAUGAAGAAUGUAAUUUCUAAGAAUUGAAAUACUAACAGAAACUAACUUAAUGUCCUGAAUGGAUGAUGAUACCUCCAAACAAGUUGUGGUCCUUAAUCCUAGCUGAGUUUCUUAAUCAUAUGCAUAUCCAUGGUUGGAAGGGCAAUGCUAUUCCUACUCCUUCGGGAAGCAAUGCUGAUGCUCAGGAUCUUCUUACCACUGUAAACGAGGCUUAUUUCCAUGGAGUCUCCUGCUAGAAGUAACCAUGAUAAGGUAAGUGUUCCUUUUUGGAUAUAUGUAGAAUGGUAAUUCCUAAGACUUAAUGAACCUUUCUUAACUUAGCUAAAGUCUGUAAUUCAUUCUGCGACAUGCACCCAUGUUGAUGUCAUUGACCGUUGCUGCCUCUGUUAAACUUGUUGAUGUUUAUGAAAGUACCUGGGAUGCAUUCUUAUUUGUUCUGUAAGCCAUGUUGAUGCAUGUGGUCCUUGUUACAGCAGGAUAACAUCUUGAUUGUCAUGACUAUUAUGGCACCUUAUGACCAUAUUAAUGUAAGUGUUCUGUGUUGCCAACAUGAAGAAUGUAAAUUUCCAAGAACUAAAAUACCAAUGAAACUAAGUUGAUAUCCGGGAUACAUGCAGUCACCUCCCAACAAAUUGAAUUCAUUCAUCCCUGUUGCAUCUGUUAAACAUGUAGAUGUCCAUGAGCUGACAUACCAUGCUAUUCCUACUAUUUCUGCAAGCCAUAUUGAUGCCAGUGUUCUUUCUUGCCCAUGGAUCUGAUGUUGAUGUCCAUCUGUCCUGCUACUUGAGACCAUGUUGAAGAAAGAGUUCUGUGUUUUCACCAUGAGGAAUACUAAUUUUCCUGAUCUAAACUAUCAUAGUAAACUAUGUGGCUAUCCAUUGAACAUGCUGCCACCUGAAACCUUAUGGAUUUAAAUGAUCCCUGCUGCUUCUGUUACCCAUAUGGAUGUCCAUGAUUAGAUACAUAAUACUAUUCCUACUACCUCUGGUAGCAAUGUUGAUGCUCAUGAUCUUGUAAACCACUGGACACCAUGUUGAUUUUCUUGAUCUCUCCUGCUUUAGGUGAUCAUGUUCAUGUAAGUGUUCCUUGUUGCCAAUGUAUAGAAUGGUAAUUUCCAAGUUUUAACAACCUUUUGUUAACUAAGUUGACACACAUAAUUCAUACUGAUACCUGCCCCCAUGCUGAUGUCAUUGAUCACUGCUGCCUUUUAAAACCCUGUUUAUAUUAAUAAAUUGAGCUCCCAUGCAUUCCUAGUGAUUCUGUAAGCCAUUUUGAUGCAUGCAGUUCUUGUUUCCAUGGGAUUACAUCUUGAUUGCUAUUUAUUCUGCAUCCCCUUAUGACCUUAUUAAUGUAAGUGUUCUGUGUUGCCAAUGUGAAGAAUGCAUUUUCCAAGAGAAACUAAAUUAAUAUUCUUAAUACUUGCUGCUACCUCAAACAAUUUGGGGUCAUUUUCCCAGCUGAGUGUCCAUGAGUUAAACAUGUCGAUGUCCAUGAUUGGAACUACAAUUACUAAUCCUACCCCCUGGAAGCAAUGUUGAUGCUCAUGAUCUUCUUUCCUGUGGACACCAGGUAGAUUUCCAUGAUCUCUCCAAGUACAAGUGACAAUAUUAAGGUAAGUGUUGCUUUUUGGCAAUUUAUAGAAUGGUAAUUCUCUAGAUUUAAUGAACCUCCAUUAAUUUAGCUGAUAUCUGUAAUUCAUACUUCCUCCUGCACCAAUGCUGAUGUCAUUGAUCGCUGCUGCCUCUGUUGCCCUUUUUGAUAUCUGAAUGGACCUUCCAUGCAUUCCCAUUGGUUGUGUAAGCCAUGUUGAUGCAUGUGGUCCUUGUUAUCAUGGGAUAACAUCUUGAUUGCCAUGACCUCUAUGGCCCCUUAUGGUCAUAUUAAGGUAAGUGUUCUUUUUUUGCUAAUGUGAGGAAAGUAAAUUUCUACGAACUGAAAUACCAACUGAAACUAAGUUGAUAUCUAGAAUACUUGCUGCUCCCUACAUAUAAACUGAAUUGAUUUAUCCCUGCUGCAUGUAGUAUACAUGUAGAUGUCCAGGAUUUGAUGUCUUAUGGUAUUUCUGGCAUUACUAGAAACCAUGUGGAUGCCUGUGGUUUUUCUUGCCAGUAUGUUCCAUAUAGAUUUCCUUGAUAUCUCUUGCUACCUGUGACAAUGUUAAUGUAAGUGUUCUGUUCUGUCAAUGUGAAGAACAUAAAUUUCCAAGAAUUUAACCACCAACUGAAACUAAGUUGAUAUACAGAAUGCAUGGUGCCACCUCCAAACAUGUUGAAGUCAGUGAUCCCUCAUGCCUCUGUUGGACAUACUGGUGUUUAUGAUUCUAACUAUAAUGAUAUUCCUACAACAUUUGGAAUCCAUGAUGAUGCCCAUCAUAUUUGUACCUGUGGAUACCAUAUUGAUUAUUGUGAUCUCUCCUGCUGUCUUUGACCUUGUUAAAUUAAGUCUUCUCUCACUUAAUGAAGAACAUUAAGUUCCAAGAUUUAGCCAUUGAAAUGUUAAUUUCCAAGAUUUCACCAAUUUUGGAAACUAAUUUUAUAUCCGUAAUUCUUGGUGUCAUCUGAAUCAAUGGUCAUUUUAUUGAUCGAUGUUGCCUCUGUUAACCAUGUUGAUGCCUAUGAUCAGAACUUCCAUGCUAUUUUUAUUCAUUCUGGAAGCCAUGUUGAUGCCCAUGCUCCUUGUUAUCUCUGGAUAACGUCUUGAUAUUGGUGACCUAUGUGGUCAAUUAUGACCAUAUUAAGAUAAGGUUUCUGUUAUUCCAACAUGAACAAAGUAAAUUUCCAAGAAUUCAACUACCAUCUAAGUUAAUAUCCAUAAUUCAUGCUGCUGUCUAUAAACAUGUUGAUGCCAUUAUUCCCUGAUGCCUCUGUUAAUGGUCUUGAUGUCUGUGAUUGGACAUUCCAUGGUAUUCCUACUAUUUCAGGGAGCCAUGUCAAUGCCUGUGGUCAUUCUUGUUCCUCAAUAUGAAGUUUAUAUCUAUCUUUCCUGCCACUGUUUUGUGAAUGAGAAAAAUGUUAAUUUUUAAGAUUUAACCCAAACAUAAGAUGAAAUCCAUAAUUUAUGAUGGCACCUGAAACCAUGUUGAUGUCAUUGAUCCUACUCUGUUAAUCAAAUUGAUGUCUAACAUAGGACAUCAUGGUAUUCCUGCUUCUUCUGGAAGCCAUGUAGAUGCCUGUGGUCCUUCUUAACUACUAUAUACAUUGUUGAUUUCCAAGGUCUCUCCUGCCCAUUGUGACUGCAUUAAAUUAUUGUUCGGUGUUACCAACAUGCAGAAUGUUAAUUUGCAUGAUUUAACCCACCAUCCAAACAUAAGAUGAAAUCCAUAAUUCAUGAUGGCACCUGAAACCAUGUUGAUGCCAUCUGUUAACCAAACUAAUGUCCAUGGUUGGAUGACCUACCAUGCUCUUCCUACUAUUUCUGGAAGCCUUGUUGAUGCUUGUGAUCUUUCUUACUGUGGAUAUGACAUUGAUGUCCAUAUCCAUGGAGAUCUUCUGCUACAUGAGACCCUAUUGUUGCAAGAGUUUUGUGCAGGCAAUGUGAUCAAUGUUAAUUGCCAUGAUCUCAGCUACCAUCUGAAACUGUUAUUUACAUGCUGCCACCUGUUACCUUGUUGAUGACAUUGAUGUCUGCUGUCCUCUUUAUCAUGUUCAUGAACAUUACUAUGCUAUUCCUAUUGGUUUGAAGUCCAUGUUGAUGCCUUGUGGUACUUUUUGAUCCUGUAUAAGAUGCUUAUAUUGAUGGUGUGACCUGCCACCUGAUACCAUGCUGAGGUAUUUUUCUGUGUUGCCCACAUGAAGAAUAUUGAUUUCCAUGAGUUGACCUGCCAUUGGAACUUAAGUUGAUAUCUAUAAUUCAUUCUGUCCCUGGAACCAUGUUGAUAUCACUGAUCCUUGCUUCUUUUUUUAUCAUGUUAAUUACCAUGAUCUGACCUACCAUGCUAUCCCUACUGCUUCUGGAAGCCAUGUUGAUGCCUGUGGUUAUUGGUGCCCCUGAAUAUGAUGUUGAUGUCGAUGUUCUGUUCUGACUCCUGAAUCUGUGCUGAGGCCACCACUUUGAUGUCACUGAUCCUUGCUGCAUGUUUUAACUAUGUUGAUAUCCAUGAGCCAAUCCUCCAUUCAAAACCAUGUUGAUGUCAUGGAUUCUUCCUACUUCUGCUAUGUUGCUGCCCAUGAUCUGACCUACCAUUCAACCCCUAAUGCUUCAGGAAGCCAUGGUGAUGCCUGCGAUCCUUGUUGCCCCUGGAUGCAAUGUUGAUGCCCAUGUUCUGUCCUACCACCUAAGACCACAUUGAGGAAAUCAUAUUGAUGUCACUGUUCUUUGCUGCAUCUUCUAACCAUGUUGAUGUUCAUCAUCCAACCUACUGUCCAAAACUUUUUUGAUGUUACUGAUCUACGUUGUAGCUGUCAACCAUGUUGAGGUCACUGAACUUUGCAACUACCUGUAAUCAUAUUGGUGUCUGCAGUGUACAGUGUCAUCAGAAACAGUGUUGAAGUCAUUCGUCCAUACUGCUUCCUUAGACCCAGUUCAAAUAUCCAUGAUUCAACCUGUCAUCUGGAACUUUGUUGAUGUCACUGAUCUUUGCUGUUGCUGUCAACCAUGUUGAUGUUACUGAAACUUGCUUCCACUUGUAACCAUACUGCUGUCUCUAGUCUGUUAUAAUCUGUGACAAUUCUGAAAUCAAUGGUAUAUACUACCACCUGAGACCCACUUCAGGAAACCAACCAUGUUGAUGUCACUGAUCUUUGUUCCCUUUAUGACCAUGUGGAUGUCCAUUAUCUGACUUAACAUCUGAAAUUAUGUUGAUGUCACUCAUUCUUGCUGCUGCUGAUAACCAUGUUUAUGGCCAUAGUCUUUGUUGGAAUCUUAGACCUUGUGAAUAUCCAUUGUCCAUGUUUCCACCUGAGUCCAUGAUGAUGACCAUGAUGACUUUAGUCUUUGCUGCUGUCAGCCAUAAUGUUGAUGCCUCUGAUUGGUCCUUCUACUGGUGACUAGGUCAAUAUGAAUGAUCUGAGCUGCCAACAGAAACUAUUUUGAUAUCAUUAAGCCAUCAUUGUGCUGGAAACCAUGUUGCAAUCUUUGUCCUUGAUGCCCUCAAAUACUAUGUUUAUGUUCAUGCUCUGGGUUGUAUGCUGAAGACCAGUUGGAUAUCCAUGACCCAGCUGCUGAUGGAGACUGUGUCGAUAUCUGUGAUCAGUACUGCCACAAGAAAACUUCCUGAUAGUGAUCUGUGAUGCCUCCCUCAAACAUGUUAUGUUGGUGAUCUGUGUUGAUGUCCUGGACCAGAUGGAUGGCAGUUAUCCAAGCUGUCACCAGUAAUCUUGUAUUCCAUGAUCUGUGCUGCUCCUGGAUACCCUGUAGAAGUCUAUGAUUCAUUGUCCUGCUGGAAACCAUGUGGAAGGCCUUGAUCUAUACUUCCACUGACUUUUAUGGGCAAGGAAAUUCUUUUGCAGUAGUAUCAAUGACUGUAGAUCAUAACUGAAAUUCAGAUGGACAUUGAAGGCUUCUAUGCCACCAUCCCUCCAAAAAAGAAAAUCUAGACAGGAUCUUAUUGGAGAGUUCUUGAAAGUUGUAAUAAAAAUACUUAACUGUAGGUCUUCAGAGUUGAUGGCUUCAGGCAGGGGUUGGGAAAGAACUCCUCUUUGAAGGGCUAGCUACUGCAAGUUUGCCCAAGCUCCAAUGAGUAUAAGGAGAACACCAAUUGGACUUGUUAUAUUGUAUUUUUUCUAUUCUGGGGGAGGAUGCCACAAAGGUGAGAGGGUGGACCUGGGAGGAAUGGGAAUCAAUUGUGAUUGAGGUAUGUUGUAUGACAUUCUCAAAUGAUUAAUAAAAUAUUA
Non-coding RNA from Peromyscus maniculatus bairdii (prairie deer mouse), 8006 nucleotides. The record is from RefSeq and is a predicted model, not a curated record. Lineage: Eukaryota; Metazoa; Chordata; Mammalia; Rodentia; Cricetidae.